This 1046-nucleotide long non-coding RNA is filed under the name Nicotiana tabacum (common tobacco). RNAcentral describes it as "long non-coding RNA (NTAB_LNC016084)". The record is from RNAcentral. Lineage: Eukaryota; Viridiplantae; Streptophyta; Magnoliopsida; Solanales; Solanaceae.
UCAUAUUACUUUUAUAUAUUCCAAGCUUUCUUAGAACUUUUCUUACCAUAAACUAGACUAGUGUUAGUUAUUGUUAAGUCAAAUUCUGUCACUAAUUUUUAAUAUGUCACUUUCGCUACUGGGAGUUCAUAGUUGAGAAGUAGAAUCUCCAUUAUGUUAGUUUCUAAUAACAAUUGAGAAUCGUUCAAUGAUAUUUCGAGUUACCAUUCGAUCUGAUUCAUUACCAUUUUGACCAUCAACAGUCCUUUAAAAAUAAAUAUCACUACCCACCAGAACUGUGGCAAAUUCAAAGGGAAACAUUACAUGUGUACAAAUCUUCAAUUAAUACGCUAACCACCAGCAUAUUUUCCCACUGGUACUUCUAUACAGAGCUGUUCAGAGAAAAGCUCUAAAGCAACACAAAAAUAAAACCACAUACACAUCCUAUCUCUUUCAUUUUUUUCUUGCUCUUCUUUUUUUUCGUUUUCCAAUUUCUUCUUUUGUCUUUGUGAAAGAAUUGUAUGUUCCUAGAAUUUCCUAAUGGAAAUAACCUUCUGACCAACCAUUUUAGAUGAAUCAAUUUUGGUGAUGCAUUCCCUAUCAGCCAAACUGUAGCAGCAUGUUUGAUUUUCCACAAGCAUGUCCAGUUCUAGCAAAAAGUUAUAAUUUACACCCUGAAAAUUGAAAAUAUUUACCAGAAGAUUGAUCAGAAAUCUGUGUACGAUUGAACUGCACAUGAUAUAUAUAUUUUUAUGUCGCAAGCAUCAAUUCCCAACAGAAACACAUGUUGAUUUUAAUUAGAAUCAAGAUGCAUGAUAAAAACAUAAAAUGAUUUGAUUAUUAUAUUAUUGUUGUUGUUCAUGUUGUUGUUACUAUGGAUUUUAUCAUUAUCAUUGUUUUUGUUGGUAUAUGAACAAAAGAUAUAAUACUGAUUUGUUCAUACAGCUACCGAUAAAUACAUGUAUACUCAAAAACAGAAAUACUCACUUGGGCUCCUGCAAGGAGAUGACAGUUUCAAAGGCACCAGCCAGUGCUCUUACUCUGUUCUUUCUUUGCUCUCGAAGCUU